AAGGGAGUCGCCCCUGGUCCUUUUGCUACUUAGUAAAUCUUGUUGCUGCUCAGUCAUUGGGUCUGCACUGCCUUUAUGAGCUGUAACACUCACUGUGAGAGUCUGUAGUUUCACUCCCGAGGCCAGUGAGACCCUGAACCCACCAGAAGGAAGAAACUCCAAACACGUCCGAACAUCAGAAGGAAGGAACAAACUCCGGACAUGCCUCACUGCAAGGGUCACCGGCUUCAUUCUUGAAGUCAGUGAGACCAAGAACCCACCAAUUCUGGACACAAUAUAAUCCUCAUUCUUCCUCCUUGAAUAUGCAGUUUACUGUGGCACACACAUUCCCACUGCAAUGCUCUAUUCCUGAAUAAAUAUCUUUUUCUUUUAGAGAGCCUUUCUCUGUUAUUUAGGUUGACAGUUUUUAACUGUCUUUUAGUAUAUCUUUGAAAUUUUGGUUGAAAGCUGGACAUGAUGUAUAUGAUAGUAGGACCUGAAGUAAAUCGGCCUUAUUGUGUGAGGUUUUAUGUUAAUCUGACUAGUAGCUGGGCCGUGUUUAAUGUUUCCUAUAGCUGUAGGUGCCAGAAACUUUAGUUUCCUCUAGUUUCAGGUAUUUUUUUUUCUCUUCUGUUUUGACUUUCCCUGAGAACUCUUAUUAUUUUUUUUGAGAUGGAGUUUUGCUCUUGUUGCGCAGGCUGGAGGGCAGUGGCGCCAUCUUGGCUCACUGCAACUUCUGCCUCCCAGGGUCAAGCAGUUCUCCUGCUUUUCCUGAGUAGCUGGGAUUACAGGUCCC
This 775-nucleotide long non-coding RNA is filed under the name Homo sapiens (human). Its description in RNAcentral is "HSALNT0048555". Lineage: Eukaryota; Metazoa; Chordata; Mammalia; Primates; Hominidae. The record is from RNAcentral.